AUCUUUUGGCGGAUGAUAAUGAUCUAUCUGAAUAAUGUGAUGCAAAUGAUUAUAUCCUAUGUUAUCAACUCUUAUUUUAUUUAAUACUAUAUCAAUCAUUGAGAUUUACUUUUAUAUAUUUUUUUAUUUCUUUAUUUUGUAUGUAAGCAAAAAAAGAAUUUUGUAGCUUUACUGCUCCAACCCCUCCCAUCUAUCUCCACCCAUCUUGCUCAAGGUAAGUAUGAGUUGGAUAUGGCUAUAUGGUUUCUCAUUGCGGAUGGCUAGGAUUAAUGACCUAUCCUAUCUCUACAUGCCUAAUUAUCAUUAUUAUCAUAUUAAAAAAAAGAAAUAAAUGUUGCAUAUGGCUACUUGCAAAUAUUUCAUAAUAUUUACUUGUUUUUUAGUGCCGUGGAUCCACAUGACUUUGCUGCUGCCC
This 415-nucleotide long non-coding RNA is filed under the name Elaeis guineensis (African oil palm). RNAcentral describes it as "long non-coding RNA (EGUI_LNC026091)". Lineage: Eukaryota; Viridiplantae; Streptophyta; Magnoliopsida; Arecales; Arecaceae. The record is from RNAcentral.